This 1230-nucleotide ribosomal RNA is filed under the name Triticum aestivum (bread wheat). RNAcentral describes it as "partial small subunit ribosomal RNA". The record is from RNAcentral. Lineage: Eukaryota; Viridiplantae; Streptophyta; Magnoliopsida; Poales; Poaceae.
AUGCGCUUUGAAACUUUCAAAGAAGCAAAGGACUUCUACAACGUCUAUGCAAAGCAUGCGGGUUUUGCUGUCAGGGAAGGCUCCAAGGUUGAGACCAGAGUCUACCUUUAUUGCACGUGCUAUGGAGUCUAUGAAUCGAAGGUGUUAGAAGCAAAUAGACAGCGGAACAAGACGACAGCCAGGACUAACUGCGGGGCUAAAAUGAGGCUGAAGAGGGAAAAGGAUGGAACACUUGUCGUAAAAGAGGUAGUCUGGGAACACAAUCACAGGCUACAGCUCACCCCCCAAAUGCUUGUCUUCUUGCAGUCCCACAAAAACUUUGACAAAACAAUCUUGGAGUACGUCAAGUACCUGUAGUUCAAAGGCAUUGAACACGCGCAAAUCAUGAGCAUAUUGGGCGGCGAUGACCCCGGUAGCUACUUCCUUUAAAUGAAUGCCAAAGACCUGAUUAACCUCAAAGCAAAGAAUUCAAGGAUGGAUGAUGUGGAAGAUAUCCUAAAGACUAUCAACUUAUUUAGGGAGAUGAAAGCUACAAACAGGGAAUUCUUCUGUGACAUAUCAGCGAACGCAAGCUGCCGAGGGGCGUAUAAGGACUUCAGUGACUACGUAACGUUUGACACCACAUAUAAGACCAACAAGUACCAUAUGCCACUUGGGGUGUUUGUGGGUACUAACAACCACUUACAUACUACAUUCUUUGGUUUCGUCCUGAUAAGAUAUGAGGAUGCAAAUUUAUUCAGAUGGCUGUUCAAGACAUUUUUAAGGUGCAUGAGAGGGAAGGCUCCUAUAUGCAUCCUCACAGACCAGUGCCCGGCAAUGGCUUUGGCGAUCCCAGAUGCUUUCAAGAUCACAAUACACAAGCUGUGCCGCUAGCACAUUAUGAAGAAGUACAGGGAACACCUCGCAUACCUGUACAACCUGCACGAAGACUUUAAGGAUGAAUUCACAUCAAUCCUCAAUUGGCCCCUUAUGCCAACUGAGUUUGAGGCUGCCUGGAAAAGACUCAUGGAUAAGUACAACCUCCAUGAUGAUGCCAUGAUGGUGGGCAUGUGGAGCGAGCGUGAGAGAUGGAUAUCAGCCUACUUCAAAGAAAUUUUCUGCGCCAAAAUGACAUCCACACAAUGAAGUGAGAGCAUGUAUUAUGUGCUCAAGAAGAACUUCGUAAGUGAGAGACAAAACCUACACCGGUUUGUCAGCCAAGUACACUCCUGCAUCAAAAGCAGGAGGUAG